This 67-nucleotide transfer RNA is filed under the name Perisphaerus sp. 1 ZQW-2023b. RNAcentral describes it as "tRNA-Asp". Lineage: Eukaryota; Metazoa; Arthropoda; Insecta; Blattodea; Blaberidae. The record is from RNAcentral.
GAAGAAUUAGUUAAUUAAUAACAUUAAAAUGUCAAAUUAAAAUAAUCAUUAAAUAUGAUAUUCCUCA